This is a long non-coding RNA of Homalodisca vitripennis (glassy-winged sharpshooter), 702 nucleotides long. RefSeq lists it as uncharacterized. The transcript is spliced from 2 exons. The record is from RefSeq and is a predicted model, not a curated record. Lineage: Eukaryota; Metazoa; Arthropoda; Insecta; Hemiptera; Cicadellidae.
UAAUAGUUCAUAGUGAAAGAAAGUACACAAUAAAAAAUGUAGAAUUAUUUAUUAGCAAAUUAUAUAGUUUCUGAGUACAUGUGUGUAUAUGCGCAGCCAGGACAACGAGAGAUAAAUAUGUAAAUAUAAAUCUCUCACAUACAAGCCACAUCUUCUUACCGUGAGUUAAUGAAGACGAGAUAUCCUACAACUAGUAUCAAGACUCAAUGUUUAUACAAGAUUCCAGAAAAAUAUACCGUUGUAAGUCCUCCUCACUCGAGAUGACCUUGACUGGUGCUUUUCUCAUGAAGAUUUUCCCGUUUCGGACCCAGAGGAAUUUGUAGUUCUUCUCACGCUGAAACUUCCUCGCCAAUGCAUGUAACCUCCUCCGAGCUGGUGACAGCGACUCAUUGACAUAGAUCGGGCAAUCGAAAUAUUGACUACGUAAUAGGUUUUAAAAUUUGGUUUAUAGUUGUUGUAGACAGCAGUAACGAAAAUGAAUUUUUCACUGUGUGAUGUAGUUUGAAUAUUGGAAGAAUAAUCGUCUACCGAGGGAAGAAUGGGGUUUUCAACAUGUUGUACCUGUUACUAUAGAAUCCAUUAAACAUAACAUUAACGUAUUCAAAUUCUGUUUUCAAGAUUUUAUACGAUUAAGAGUCGGCUGUAGAAUCACGAGCUUGUGUUUUUCUUCAUAAGAACAAUAAUAAACCUAGUUCACUUUAA